Molecule: long non-coding RNA, 869 nt
Organism: Helianthus annuus (common sunflower)
Lineage: Eukaryota; Viridiplantae; Streptophyta; Magnoliopsida; Asterales; Asteraceae
Exons: 2
Source: RefSeq, a predicted model, not a curated record
UAUAUAUGAGGUACAGUAGUUUAGCGGAAUUGAAGUCGGUCUCCUAAUCUAUUGAGAACUUUCUUUCAGCCACUUGUUUCUUAUCCAUUAUAAAAUGUAUUUUUUUUUUCUAGCCAGAUUCUUGAGUGGUAUGAUUAGAUCUCAACAUCAAAUAUCGUAUGAAGUUUUCCUCUUGGCUAAAAGUUAACCAGCAAUUCCGUUAGCUGACAGAUGGUCAAACAUACACCAAGAAGUUUAAUUCAGAAAUGGUUCGGUCAACAAGAAAAGAUCGAGUCCAAUCUCAAGUCGGUCGGGUUGUAUAGUGGUUCUGAUGUCGGAGAUGUUUAGAAAAAACUUUUACUGCAAGUAAAAACUAAGAAGGAGAUCCUUACUAGUUUCAACCAGAUUCCUCAUAAUCGAACUGUUGAUACGAGCUCAAGCAUUAAGACUUUAAUGCCAGAAAAAACUUCGAGGCGAAGGCCAGCGCGUUGGUCGGGGGAUGGCCCUCAAUGGACCCAAGGGGAAACAUCUCUGGCUGGGGUCACAUUUCCAGGUCGGCGUGAACAUUUUUUGUUUUCCCAUAACAAAGCUUCAUAAGAACGCAUCAGGUUUGCAUGGAUUGAAGAUAGUUGCGUGGAAAAUGAUUUUCAAAAUGACUGGAGGUCGGUAGCAACUCAGCUAUCGAAAUUCAGUAGCAACUUUGUAUUGUGAGCACUGGCAUCUGAAACUUCAGUAGUAGCAGAGCCUUUAAAUAUGUGUUGAAUUAAAUAUAAACAUUAGACAUCUUGCACAUGCGCACCCCUACGUAUGUUGUUUCGGAGGGCCUCACGUUUUGUUGAAACUUAGGCUAAGACAUGAAUUUAAUGAUUUUUAAGAGUAUAUUAUGUUUA